CCCAAUUCAGGGUCUGCAGCCUUUUUUUCCCUCACUUUAUUUAUCUCAUUUUAGACAUACAGUCAAGGGGUCUGCAGCCUUAAAGGCCGCAUUUUAAGGCCAAAGGCUGUCCCAAUUCAAAGGCUGCUCGAAAUGCGGCCCUCAAAUGCGUCCUUCAUUUCCCUGAAUUUUAAGGAUGGGUCAGUGUAGCCUUCAUGGCCCAACAUAUCCCAGACUUCAUAACGCGGCGGUGGUGUGGAUAAUUUUGCCGAAAAAAACCGUGGAAGCGAAGCGGCCGAAGAGUACUUUCAAAACUUAUCACACAUUUGAUUUCCAUGUGUGACAACUGCAAGUGUCCAGAGUGAGGACAGACUGAGGGACCCACUGCUGCACAUCAUCUGUGAGGCUUUGC
Oreochromis aureus is the source of this 391-nucleotide long non-coding RNA. The record is from Ensembl. Lineage: Eukaryota; Metazoa; Chordata; Actinopteri; Cichliformes; Cichlidae.